UAAACGGGGAGCUUACCAUGCAGUCGAACGGCAGCACGGACUUCGGUCUGGUGGCGAGUGGCGAACGGGUGAGUAAUGUAUCGGAACGUGCCCAGUAGCGGGGGAUAACUACGCGAAAGCGUAGCUAAUACCGCAUACGCCCUACGGGGGAAAGCAGGGGAUCGCAAGACCUUGCACUAUUGGAGCGGCCGAUAUCGGAUUAGCUAGUUGGUGGGGUAACGGCUCACCAAGGCGACGAUCCGUAGCUGGUUUGAGAGGACGACCAGCCACACUGGGACUGAGACACGGCCCAGACUCCUACGGGAGGCAGCAGUGGGGAAUUUUGGACAAUGGGGGAAACCCUGAUCCAGCCAUCCCGCGUGUGCGAUGAAGGCCUUCGGGUUGUAAAGCACUUUUGGCAGGAAAGAAACGUCGCGGGUUAAUACCCCGCGAAACUGACGGUACCUGCAGAAUAAGCACCGGCUAACUACGUGCCAGCAGCGGUGGGUAAUAA
Molecule: ribosomal RNA, 493 nt
Filed under: Achromobacter sp. HE79B
Lineage: Bacteria; Pseudomonadati; Pseudomonadota; Betaproteobacteria; Burkholderiales; Alcaligenaceae
Description: bacterial SSU rRNA
Rfam family: Bacterial small subunit ribosomal RNA
Source: RNAcentral